RNAcentral lists this ribosomal RNA (253 nucleotides) under uncultured bacterium. RNAcentral's name for it is "partial 16S ribosomal RNA". It matches the Rfam family "Bacterial small subunit ribosomal RNA", at positions 524 to 776 of the family's 1533-position model. The record is from RNAcentral.
UACAGAGGUCCCAAGCGUUGUUCGGAUUCACUGGGCGUAAAGGGUGCGCAGGCGGCCAAGUGUGUGAGGCGUGAAAGCCCGGGGCUUAACCCCGGAAUUGCACCUCAAACUACUUGGCUAGAGCAUUGGAGAGGGUAGCAGAAUUCAUGGUGUAGCAGUGAAAUGCGUAGAUAUCAUGAGGAAUACCAGAGGCGAAGGCGGCUACCUGGACAAUUGCUGACGCUCAGGCACGAAAGCGUGGGGAGCAAAAGGG